This 500-nucleotide ribosomal RNA is filed under the name uncultured bacterium. RNAcentral's name for it is "partial 16S ribosomal RNA". It matches the Rfam family "Bacterial small subunit ribosomal RNA", at positions 30 to 523 of the family's 1533-position model. The record is from RNAcentral.
AUUGAACGCUGGCGGCAUGCCUUACACAUGCAAGUCGAACGGUAACGGGUCCUUCGGGAUGCCGACGAGUGGCGAACGGGUGAGUAAUAUAUCGGAACGUGCCCAGUAGUGGGGGAUAACUGUUCGAAAGAGCAGCUAAUACCGCAUACGACCUGAGGGUGAAAGGGGGGGAUCGCAAGACCUCUCGCUAUUGGAGCGGCCGAUAUCAGAUUAGCUAGUUGGUGGGGUAAAGGCCUACCAAGGCAACGAUCUGUAGUUGGUCUGAGAGGACGACCAGCCACACUGGGACUGAGACACGGCCCAGACUCCUACGGGAGGCAGCAGUGGGGAAUUUUGGACAAUGGGCGCAAGCCUGAUCCAGCAAUGCCGCGUGCAGGAAGAAGGCCUUCGGGUUGUAAACUGCUUUUGUCAGGGAAGAAAUCUUCUGGGCUAAUACCCCGGGAGGAUGGCGGUACCUGAAGAAUAAGCACCGGCUAACUACGUGCCAGCAGCCGCCGUAA